GCAAAAUCUCAACUUUAUUAGAAGAGACGCAUUUAUUAGAUAAAAAGCCAAUGCAUGCUUUUUACAGUAUGAAAAUUGGUGAUUUAUAAUAACUUAGCAAAUCGCAUAGUGAAAACAGGCGAUAAAUCAUUCAAGUUUCUGACCUAUCAGCUUUCGACGGUAUGGUAUUGGCUUACCGUGGCAGUGACGGUUAACGGGGGAUUAGGGUUCGAUUCCGGAGAGGGAGCCUGAGAAACGGCUACCACAUCUAAGGAAGGCAGCAGGCGCGCAAAUUACCCAAUUCUAACAGUUUGAGAGAGGUAGUAACAAGAAAUAACAAUACAAGGCAGUUAAAAUGCUUUGUAAUUGGAAUGAUAGAAAUUUAAACCCUUUUUAAAGUAUCAAUUGGAGGGCAAGUCUGGUGCCAGCAGCCGCGGUAAUUCCAGCUCCAAUAGCGUAUAUUAAAAUUGUUGCAGUUAAAAAGCUCGUAGUUGAAGUUCUGCUAAAAGUAACCGGUCUGCUUUGAAUAAAAGUGGUAUCUUGGUAUGUAUUUAGCAAUGAUGUCCUUUGAAGUGUUUUUUACUUUAUUGUAAUAAAAGCAUAUUCAGGACUUUUACUUUGAAAAAAAUUAGAGUGUUUCUAGCAGGCCAACGCUUUGAAAUACUGCAGCAUGGAAUAAUAAGA
Molecule: ribosomal RNA, 663 nt
Filed under: Hepatozoon canis
Lineage: Eukaryota; Apicomplexa; Hepatozoidae
Description: bacterial SSU rRNA
Rfam family: Eukaryotic small subunit ribosomal RNA
Source: RNAcentral